AUUUAAAUAGCUUAUAUAGAGUGUAAUAUUGAAGAUAUUAAGGAAAAUUUUAUAUUUUUUAGAUA
Molecule: transfer RNA, 65 nt
Filed under: Chimarra sadayu
Lineage: Eukaryota; Metazoa; Arthropoda; Insecta; Trichoptera; Philopotamidae
Description: tRNA-Phe
Source: RNAcentral